RNAcentral lists this ribosomal RNA (301 nucleotides) under uncultured bacterium. RNAcentral's name for it is "partial 16S ribosomal RNA". It matches the Rfam family "Bacterial small subunit ribosomal RNA", at positions 509 to 809 of the family's 1533-position model. The record is from RNAcentral.
CAGCCGCCGCGGGAAUACGUAGGUGGCAAGCGUUGUCCGGAAUUAUUGGGCGUAAAGCGCGCGCAGGCGGAUCAGUCAGUCUGUCUUAAAAGUUCGGGGCUUAACCCCGUGAUGGGAUGGAAACUGCUGAUCUAGAGUAUCGGAGAGGAAAGUGGAAUUCCUAGUGUAGCGGUGAAAUGCGUAGAUAUUAGGAAGAACACCAGUGGCGAAGGCGACUUUCUGGACGAAAACUGACGCUGAGGCGCGAAAGCCAGGGGAGCGAACGGGAUUAGAUACCCGUGUAGUCCCUGUCUCUUAUACA